Molecule: unclassified non-coding RNA, 335 nt
Filed under: soil metagenome
Description: partial contains 5.8S ribosomal RNA, internal transcribed spacer 2, and large subunit ribosomal RNA
Rfam family: 5.8S ribosomal RNA (bases 1-120)
Source: RNAcentral
GAUGAAGAACGUAGCGAAAUGCGAUAAGUAGUGUGAAUUGCAGAAUUCAGUGAAUCAUCGAAUCUUUGAACGCACAUUGCGCCCCUUGGUAUUCCAUGGGGCAUGCCUGUUCGAGCGUCAUUUGUACCUUCAAGCUCUGCUUGGUGUUGGGUGUUUGUCUUUGCUCUAGUGGCGGGACUCGCCUUAAAGUAAUUGGCAGCCAGUGUUUUGGUUUUGAAGCGCAGCACAAGUCGCGAUUCAAGUCUAUACGCUAGUUUCCACAAGUCUUUUAUCACUUUUGACCUCGGAUCAGGUAGGGAUACCCGCUGAACUUAAGCAUAUCAAUAAGCGGAGGA